GAGUUUGAUCCUGGCUCAGAACGAACGCUGGCGGCAGGCCUAACACAUGCAGGUCGAGCGCACCUUCGGGUGAGCGGCGGACGGGUUAGUAACGCGUGGGAACGUACCCAGAUCUAAGGAAUAGCCACUGGAAACGGUGAGUAAUACCUUAUACGCCCUUCGGGGGAAAGAUUUAUCGGAUUUGGAUCGGCCCGCGUUAGAUUAGGUAGUUGGUGGGGUAAUGGCCUACCAAGCCUACGAUCUAUAGCUGGUUUUAGAGGAUGAUCAGCAACACUGGGACUGAGACACGGCCCAGACUCCUACGGGAGGCAGCAGUGGGGAAUCUUAGACAAUGGGGGCAACCCUGAUCUAGCCAUGCCGCGUGAGUGAAGAAGGUCUUAGGAUCGUAAAGCUCUUUCGCCAGGGGUGAUAAUGACAGUACCUGGUAAAGAAACCCCGGCUAACUCCGUGCCAGCAGCCGCGGUAAUACGGAGGGGGUUAGCGUUGUUCGGAAUUACUGGGCGUAAAGCGCGCGUAGGCGGAUCAGAAAGUUGGGGGUGAAAUCCCAGGGCUCAACCCUGGAACUGCCUCCAAAACUCCUGGUCUUGAGUUCGAGAGAGGUGAGUGGAGCUCCGAGUGUAGAGGUGAAAUUCGUAGAUAUUCGGAAGAACACCAGUGGCGAAGGCGGCUCACUGGCUCGAUACUGACGCUGAGGUGCGAAAGUGUGGGGAGCAAACAGGAUUAGAUACCCUGGUAGUCCACACCGUAAACGAUGAAUGCCAGUCGUCGGGUAGUAUACUAUUCGGUGACACACCUAACGGAUUAAGCAUUCCGCCUGGGGAGUACGGUCGCAAGAUUAAAACUCAAGGAAUUGA
RNAcentral lists this ribosomal RNA (854 nucleotides) under uncultured bacterium. RNAcentral describes it as "bacterial SSU rRNA". It matches the Rfam family "Bacterial small subunit ribosomal RNA", at positions 9 to 913 of the family's 1533-position model. The record is from RNAcentral.